RNAcentral lists this ribosomal RNA (639 nucleotides) under Bacillus subtilis. RNAcentral's name for it is "partial 23S ribosomal RNA". It matches the Rfam family "Bacterial large subunit ribosomal RNA", at positions 1 to 635 of the family's 2925-position model. The record is from RNAcentral. Lineage: Bacteria; Bacillati; Bacillota; Bacilli; Caryophanales; Bacillaceae. RNAcentral also lists the same sequence under 1 other name.
GGUUAAGUUAGAAAGGGCGCACGGUGGAUGCCUUGGCACUAGGAGCCGAUGAAGGACGGGACGAACACCGAUAUGCUUCGGGGAGCUGUAAGCAAGCUUUGAUCCGGAGAUUUCCGAAUGGGGAAACCCACCACUCGUAAUGGAGUGGUAUCCAUAUCUGAAUUCAUAGGAUAUGAGAAGGCAGACCCGGGGAACUGAAACAUCUAAGUACCCGGAGGAAGAGAAAGCAAAUGCGAUUCCCUGAGUAGCGGCGAGCGAAACGGGAUUAGCCCAAACCAAGAGGCUUGCCUCUUGGGGUUGUAGGACACUCUGUACGGAGUUACAAAGGAACGAGGUAGAUGAAGAGGUCUGGAAAGGCCCGCCAUAGGAGGUAACAGCCCUGUAGUCAAAACUUCGUUCUCUCCUGAGUGGAUCCUGAGUACGGCGGAACACGUGAAAUUCCGUCGGAAUCCGGGAGGACCAUCUCCCAAGGCUAAAUACUCCCUAGUGACCGAUAGUGAACCAGUACCGUGAGGGAAAGGUGAAAAGCACCCCGGAAGGGGAGUGAAAGAGAUCCUGAAACCGUGUGCCUACAAGUAGUCAGAGCCCGUUAACGGGUGAUGGCGUGCCUUUUGUAGAAUGAACCGGCGAGUUACGAUC